Equus caballus (horse) is the source of this 4445-nucleotide long non-coding RNA. The record is from Ensembl. NCBI's taxonomy places the organism in Eukaryota, Metazoa, Chordata, Mammalia, Perissodactyla, Equidae.
UUUAACCCGGUCAAAAGUAUUUUAUUGAGAAACUACUAUGUGCCAAUCAUCAGUUGAGAUUCAGAGAAAUCUCAAGUAGUAGAGACUGAGAUAGGUAGAACUGGCAGGAAAGGAAAACAUUUUUCUGAUGUUAAUCUUUCUUUAGAUAAGCGGGUCUUAGCUUUUUCGAGUUCUUUAAAAUAGGAACCACUCACGAGGGGGCAGUCUACAAAUAUUUCCCCAACCAGCCUGCUCUGCUCCCCCGAUUUCUCAGAUCACUCUCUCAUCUUUAGGGCCUGUCAAGACCUGGUUAAAGAAACACCCAGAGGCAGAAGGACGUCAGGCACAGAAUAGAGCACCAUUUCACCAAAAACUCAUCGACUUCCCCACUUUGUCUAUUUUUUUCCUCAUUUCCUUUGUACAUUUUUCCUUAAUCUCUAGUGUGUUUUCCACCCUACGGCAUUUCCAACAAUUCCAUCCAUCUCCCCUGCCAACAGCAUCUUUGGUAUUUAUAAAGUUUGUAGUAAUGCCACAAGUGAAAUUAGAUUAGAACAGAGUGUCUAUUUGACAAACCAAGAAAUUUCAAAACCCUUGCCAGCCAAACUCUCUUAUUGAAAGUCAUCUUUGUUAUGAUGUCUUUUAUGAUCUCUUAAAGUUCAUAGAGUUUGUAUUGGGAUUUGACUUGUAAUAGCCCUGGAAUGUGGCAUCAGGUUCCAUUUUAUAUGGUAAAUUCCAGAAAACUAAAGACCAUAAUAUAUGGUUUUGGUGGCCUGCUUUGAAGAGUGACAUGGGCACUUAGGUGCUAAAUACAUGCUAUUUGAGGAUACGGUCCACGGGAAAUUGGCUUAGAUCACAUUUAUUCACCUGUCUUGGUAUGUUAGUGUAGGGAACUGUGCAGGUAAAGGUCCUUGCCUUCAUCUCUUAACAUAUUCAAUAUGUGCUGACGGUUUUUGUAGUGACGUCAAUACCUAACGAGUACUUACAGAUCCAGGGCAAUCUUCCAAGCACUGACUGGGAACCAGUAGAAAUGGCCUGGAUCCUGCACUCUGGGUGCCUGAUUCAGUACGGAGUCAACCACAGGUGCUCAGACACCACAGCGCCAGCAGAAUGUGGCAACCAUCAUGAGAAAUGUGUAAGGCCAUGUGGCAGGAGUCCCUGGGUGGGAGAGGCCCCUUCAGUGUGUGAGGAGGGCCAGCUUUGGGGAUGAGCAGGUAAAGUGGGAUAGGGGGAGAUGAGAAGCGGAGGCCACAGCUGCCAUCGGGGCACUUCCGUUGUGAGGCUGGUGAGAAGGGCCUGAUGGGGCAGGGAAGGGAGAGGAACACAGAGAAGAGAGAUGUCAAAGGACUUGUGUGGUGAACGGAUGCAGAAUGAGAAGAGGCUCGGCUCUCAGUAAGAAGAGUCAUAACAACCACCCUUUAUCGAACAUUCAACACGUACCAGGCACUUCACUUUUCAUACAGCAGUUCUAAGUAAAUCCUCCUGCCCCCUCGCCCCACCCCCGCCAGUUUACAGAUCAGGACAUUGAGGCCAAAGUCACCCAGCGACUGCAGGUCAGAACUGGGAUCUAACCCGGCACGUGUGACCCCAAGGCGGUGUUUUCUUCACUACCUCAUGUUGUCGAGAAACCGUGAGAACGGUGAUUUCCAAGGCGAAUGGAAACAGGAAUUGGUUUUAGAGCACCGCCACGGUAUCAUAUCUGUUUACUUAUGUGUCUAGUCCAUUCAUUCUUUCACAAAUUCUCCUCAGUAAUUGGUUUGUGCAGUGCUGCUAGGGCGCAGAGUCCUGGUCCCCAGCAUUGCCUGGCAAGCAUAUCUGAGCACAGGACACUGUCCCAGCCGCUGAGUCUUGUGACAAUGUUGACUUAAGCAGAAAUGCAGACACCACCGUGUGCUCACUGAGAAGCCAGGGGAAUGUAGCCCACGAAACCUUCCCCUAACUCGCUUUCUUCCCUUUCCCAAGCCAGGGUGGGAGGCCUCGAGGCGCCCGGGGUUCUUCAUCACACUUCCUGCAUUUCAUGAGAGCUGGAUCUUGGAUGGGCCCAAAGCCCUCGCCAGCUUUGCCCUGGUGGAAUGUUCCCUCCCCUGCCGUCGGCCUCCCAGGCUGCGAUUGCUUCACUUUCUGCCUGCAGCGCGGUGGACCCCCAGGCCAGGCGGCCCUCUGACACGGCCAGGCCCUCUGCAGCUUGGACGUGGCAUUUUUCAUCGUCCCUGGGUUGCUUUUCCUCUCUUUGAGAGCACAGCCUGGACUAUUCCACCUCCCAGGCCCCUGGAAUCUAGCACAUCCCGUGCCACAGCAUCAUUGCAUAAUCCAUCUCUCCCCCUGAACGGGGGGCUCCUUGAGGGUUGAACUGUGUCUAAUUUAGCUGAAAACCGUGGGUCCUGGGAAAAGAUUUGGCACCUGGUGGCAUUCCAUGCAUAUUUGUUGAGCGAAUAAACAAACACAGAGCAUUUGGUGAGGUAAGGGCAAGCCCUCCAAGGGGACAGGCUUGCAGGCUGUUUGGAUCCAUGCCACCAGAACUUCGGGGGAAAUUCAGGCCCAGGGAUAGAUCUCUGCAAACACAAAUAUUGAGAGAAUAUCUGAACCACUGAAGGAAACGCAGGUGAGAAAAGAGUCGGACAUCCCAGGACGGUCCAGAGGGUGAAACGUGCAUCCAAACACUUCUAGAUUAUCAAGCAGAUUAUCCUGACAGCUGCAAUGCAAGCAGAGGCUUUAUUUUCUAGCAGAACUUAGUAGUUAGUGCUGCACUAAAUACAUUUGCUGGGGAAGUUGAAUCAAUAUGACUCAACACUGGGGAGAGGAGGAAAGGCCAGGGAAUUCACAUCCUAUUUUAGCGCAGACUUGUCCUGUGCCACUUCACGUCACUGUCCUACAGCUCGGUGAUGUGGUUGUUCUUCUCAUUUUAAAGACAAGGAAAUUUAGUCUCAGAGAAAUUAAACAAUUACCCACAUCACUGGAAAGUGAAGUCUGGUAUCUCAGACUUCAAAGAGCUGGCUCCUCUUCAUUCGAAGCUUUAAGUGAGGUCCUCCCGUGGCGCCGGCUCUUCUGUUGUCUGCCCAUCUCAGCCAGGCGCUGGAGAAACCUCAGCUCAUUUCAGCUCAGGGCGGGGACAGAAGUUCCAAGGCCCUUGGGGAUGUUACCUCCUCUGCUCUUAGGUCCAAUGCUUUCUUGUCGAUGUCAAGACAAUCUCUACUCGUGAGUCCAUUUUCCCAGCCCUACUGAUGACUCUGUCUACCAACAGAGGCUGCACCUUCUCUGACUUCCAUGGGAGUCUCCUUGAGCACAGCCUGCUGCCUUCUUGCUCUCUUUCACAAGCAGCCUCUUGACCUUUCUCCUAUUCUCUUGUUUUGUGAGGCUCAAGCCAUAAAAAACAAAAACAAAGCAAAAGAAAACCUUCACUAAUUCGAGGCCAUAUAAAAACCUACUAGAAUAAAACAAAUGUUUUUGGUGAGUAAUCCUACAUGAAAAAGAGAUUUAAUUUUAUGGCUUAAUAAGUGCUGACGCGCUGGCCGGGAGAUAAUAGAUGGUCAUCACAUUCAUGCGUUCCCACCACCCUGCGGCCAUGGAGAGAGACCUGGAGAGAAAGGCCCCAAUCCCGCUGGCAGAUGGCUGGGAGCACGAUUUCAGAUAGCGGGAUGGUGGCUUCCCGGCUGGGAUGGGGUGCCUUGCACAAGGAAGGGGAAGACCAUGUGUGCCUGGAGGGUAGGUGAUUUGAUCAAGACAGCUUUCAGCUGGAGUGGCGGAGGGAGAAGAAUGCUCAGAAAAACUGGUGGAACCAGUUACUGUGGAGCAUGGUGGGAGUGACUUGGGAGGCAGAAUGAAGUGCAGGAGGGUGAUUCCCAGGGGAAACAAGCCAGAACCAGGCUUUAGAGCCUCAGCUGAUGCUCUGCCAGUGCCCAGAGCAAGUGAAAGAAACAAAAUGGAUUCCACACCGUGAGACAGACGGCCACUGCAAUCUUAUGGGUGUCCCUGGCAAUCGUAGGGCUGUCUCGUGGCGUGGUGGCAGAAUCGGGUCCAGUGCAGUGAACCGUGGGAGGGUCCAGCCAUAGAGCAUGACAAGAGCUCCCAUCAUGGGCACCUCGAAAUGCACCUGGCCACAGCUGAACAAGCAUCCUCUCCCUGAUUUCCUUAUACUCCCCACCUGGGGAGCAGCAUCAACAUACACUUAGUCACUAAACCAGAAGCCAGACUUCUUUGCCCCUCAUCCCCAAAACAGAUCGGUCACUGCGAUCCACUGACGUCUCUGUAAUCUCUCUCUCCUCUGCAUCCCCACAGCCACUUCCUUAUUUCAAGACCUCAUCUUUUGCCUGGCCACUGUCCCAGCCUCCCAACAGAUCCUCCCGCCCCCCGUUCUUCACAUUAUUGGCGGAGACAUCUUAAUGAAAAGUAAAAGUGAUCAUAUCACUCCCUGCUGAAAAUCCUUCAGGAAUUCCUCCUUGCCUUCAGGGUGAAAUAUAAAAGGCCUUGGC